UACGUAGGUGACAAGCGUUGUCCGGAUUUACUGGGCGUAAAGAGCGCGCAGGCGGUCGUUCAAGUCGAGUGUGAAAGCCCCCGGCUCAACUGGGGAGGGUCAUUCGAUACUGAUCGACUCGAAGACAGGAGAGGGUAGUGGAAUUCCCGGUGUAGUGGUGAAAUGCGUAGAUAUCGGGAGGAACACCAGUGGCGAAGGCGACUACCUGGCCUGUUCUUGACGCUGAGGCGCGAAAGCUAGGGGAGCAAACGGG
RNAcentral lists this ribosomal RNA (253 nucleotides) under uncultured bacterium. RNAcentral describes it as "partial 16S ribosomal RNA". It matches the Rfam family "Bacterial small subunit ribosomal RNA", at positions 524 to 776 of the family's 1533-position model. The record is from RNAcentral.